UUUUCUGCGAGAUUAAGCUAUGAGUAGUAAUUGAUGUUCAAAAAACUUAAAAUUAUUUGGCGGUUUUAAUUAUCUUAUCAGAGGAAUUUGUCCUGUAAUCGAUAAUCCUCGUUACAUUUUACCUGAUAUAUGUGUUUGAAUAUCGCUGUAUAUUAUAUUUUUUAUAUGAAAUAUAAAUUACUAAAAAUAAAUAAUAUAAGUCAAGGUUCAGCUUUUGUGGGUUUGUGAUGAAUUACAAUUUUGGUUUUUGAAUUGAUUUUUAAAAUGAAAUUAUGAUAAUGGAUUUGAUAGUAAUUAUAUAUUAGUAAGUUAUAAUGAAUAAAGUUUAUUAAAAUGU
RNAcentral lists this ribosomal RNA (337 nucleotides) under Cryptocellus sp. DNA102701. RNAcentral describes it as "partial small subunit ribosomal RNA". The record is from RNAcentral. Lineage: Eukaryota; Metazoa; Arthropoda; Arachnida; Ricinulei; Ricinoididae.